GGAGUUGUGGCUCAGUGGUAGAGCGUGCACUUUGUAUGUGCGAGGCACUGGGUUCGAUCCUCAGCACCA
This 69-nucleotide transfer RNA is filed under the name Marmota monax (woodchuck). It matches the Rfam family "tRNA". Rfam says of the family: Transfer RNA (tRNA) molecules are approximately 80 nucleotides in length. Their secondary structure includes four short double-helical elements and three loops (D, anti-codon, and T loops). Lineage: Eukaryota; Metazoa; Chordata; Mammalia; Rodentia; Sciuridae. The record is from Rfam by way of RNAcentral.